UGGGGAAUUUUGGACAAUGGGCGAAAGCCUGAUCCAGCAAUGCCGCGUGUGUGAAGAAGGCCUUCGGGUUGUAAAGCACUUUUGUCCGGAAAGAAAUCCUUGGCUCUAAUACAGUCGGGGGAUGACGGUACCGGAAGAAUAAGCACCGGCUAACUACGUGCCAGCAGCCGCGGUAAUACGUAGGGUGCAAGCGUUAAUCGGAAUUACUGGGCGUAAAGCGUGCGCAGGCGGUUUGCUAAGACCGAUGUGAAAUCCCCGGGCUCAACCUGGGAACUGCAUUGGUGACUGGCAGGCUAGAGUAUGGCAGAGGGGGGUAGAAUUCCACGUGUAGCAGUGAAAUGCGUAGAGAUGUGGAGGAAUACCGAUGGCGAAGGCAGCCCCCUGGGCCAAUACUGACGCUCAUGCACGAAAGCGUGGGGAGCAAACAGGAUUAGAUACCCUGGUAGUCCACGCCCUAAACGAUGUCAACUAGUUGUUGGGGAUUCAUUCCUUAGUAACGUAGCUAACGCGUGAAGUUGACCGCCUGGGGAGUACGGUCGCAAGAUUAAACUCAAAUGAAUUGACGGGGUCAUAGCUG
This 577-nucleotide ribosomal RNA is filed under the name uncultured bacterium. RNAcentral's name for it is "partial 16S ribosomal RNA". It matches the Rfam family "Bacterial small subunit ribosomal RNA", at positions 355 to 932 of the family's 1533-position model. The record is from RNAcentral.